UUAGUUAACGAAGUGGUUGAUGCCAUGCUUCCAAGAAAAGCUUCUAAGCUUCAGGUAACCAGGAACCGUACCCCAAACCGACACAGGUGGUUGGGUAGAGAAUACCAAGGCGCUUGAGAGAACUCGGGUGAAGGAACUAGGCAAAAUGGCACCGUAACUUCGGGAGAAGGUGCGCCGGUGAGGGUGAAGGACUUGCUCCGUAAGCUCAUGCCGGUCGAACAUACCAGGCCGCUGCGACUGUUUAUUAAAAACACAGCACUCUGCAAACACGAAAGUGGACGUAUAGGGUGUGACGCCUGCCCGGUGCCGGAAGGUUAAUUGAUGGGGUUAGCUAACGCGAAGCUCUUGAUCGAAGCCCCGGUAAACGGCGGCCGUAACAAUAACGGUCCUAAGGUAGCGAAAUUCCUUGUCGGGUAAGUUCCGACCUGCACGAAUGGCGUAACGAUGGCGGCGCUUUCUCCACCCGAGACUCAGUGAAAUUGAAAUCGCUGUGAAGAUGCAGUGUAUCCGCGGCUAGACGGAAAGACCCCGUGAACCUUUACUAUAGCUUUGCACUGGACUUUGAAUUUGCUUGUGUAGGAUAGGUGGGAGGCUUUGAAGUGUGGACGCCAGUCUGCAUGGAGCCAACCUUGAAAUACCACCCUGGCAACUUUGAGGUUCUAACUCAGGUCCGUUAUCCGGAUCGAGGACAGUGUAUGGUGGGUAGUUUGACUGGGGCGGUCUCCUCCUAAAGAGUAACGGAGGAGUACGAAGGUGCGCUCAGACCGGUCGGAAAUCGGUCGUAGAGUAUAAAGGCAAAAGCGCGCUUGACUGCGAGACAGACACGUCGAGCAGGUACGAAAGUAGGUCUUAGUGAUCCGGUGGUUCUGUAUGGAAGGGCCAUCGCUCAACGGAUAAAAGGUACUCCGGGGAUAACAGGCUGAUACCGCCCAAGAGUCCAUAUCGACGGCGGUGUUUGGCACCUCGAUGUCGGCUCAUCACAUCCUGGGGCUGAAGCCGGUCCCAAGGGUAUGGCUGUUCGCCAUUUAAAGUGGUACGCGAGCUGGGUUUAGAACGUCGUGAGACAGUUCGGUCCCUAUCUGCCGUGGACGUUUGAGAUUUGAGAGGGGCUGCUCCUAGUACGAGAGGACCGGAGUGGACGAACCUCUGGUGUUCCGGUUGUCACGCCAGUGGCAUUGCCGGGUAGCUAUGUUCGGAAUAGAUAACCGCUGAAAGCAUCUAAGCGGGAAACUAGCCUCAAGAUGAGAUCUCACUGGAACCUUGAGUUCCCUGAAGGGCCGUCGAAGACUACGACGUUGAUAGGUUGGGUGUGUAAGCGCUGUGAGGCGUUGAGCUAACCAAUACUAAUUGCCCGUGAGGCUUGACUAA
RNAcentral lists this ribosomal RNA (1368 nucleotides) under metagenome. RNAcentral's name for it is "bacterial LSU rRNA". It matches the Rfam family "Bacterial large subunit ribosomal RNA", at positions 1578 to 2925 of the family's 2925-position model. The record is from RNAcentral.